CCCUUAGACGUUCUGGGCCGCACGCGCGCUACACUGACGAAGGCAACGAGCUUUCCUUUACCGAAAGGUACGGGUAAUCUUUUGAAACUUCGUCGUGCUGGGGAUAGAUCCUUGCAAUUUUUGAUCUUAAAUGAGGAAUUCCUAGUAAGCGCAAGUCAUCAACUUGCGUUGAUUACGUCCCUGCCCUUUGUACACACCGCCCGUCGCUACUACCGAUUGAAUGGUUUAGUGAGGCCUUCGGAUCCGCGACUCGUUUUGUGGAGAAGUUGGACAAACUCAGUCAUUUAGAGGAAGUAAAAGUCGUAACA
This 308-nucleotide ribosomal RNA is filed under the name uncultured eukaryote. RNAcentral's name for it is "partial 18S ribosomal RNA". It matches the Rfam family "Eukaryotic small subunit ribosomal RNA", at positions 1470 to 1796 of the family's 1831-position model. The record is from RNAcentral.